GAUGAACGCUAGCUACAGGCUUAACACAUGCAAGUCGAGGGGAAACGCCAUCGAAAGCUUGCUUUUGAUGGGCGUCGACCGGCGCACGGGUGAGUAACGCGUAUCCAACCUGCCCAUCACUUGGGAAUAACCUUGCGAAAGUAAGACUAAUACCCAAUGACAUCCCACGAAGACAUCUGAAUGGGAUUAAAGAUUUAUCGGUGAUGGAUGGGGAUGCGUCUGAUUAGCUUGUUGGCGGGGUAACGGCCGACCAAGGCAACGAUCAGUAGGGGUUCUGAGAGGAAGGUCCCCCACAUUGGAACUGAGACACGGUCCAAACUCCUACGGGAGGCAGCAGUGAGGAAUAUUGGUCAAUGGGCGAGAGCCUGAACCAGCCAAGUAGCGUGCAGGAUGACGGCCCUAUGGGUUGUAAACUGCUUUUAUAAGGGAAUAAAGUGGGUCUCGUGAGACUUUUUGCAUGUACCUUAUGAAUAAGGACCGGCUAAUUCCGUG
RNAcentral lists this ribosomal RNA (492 nucleotides) under uncultured bacterium. RNAcentral's name for it is "partial 16S ribosomal RNA". It matches the Rfam family "Bacterial small subunit ribosomal RNA", at positions 28 to 507 of the family's 1533-position model. The record is from RNAcentral.